GACGAACGCUGGCGGCGUGCUUAACACAUGCAAGUCGAACGGAAAGGCCCUGCUUUUGUGGGGUGCUCGAGUGGCGAACGGGUGAGUAACACGUGAGUAACCUGCCCUUGACUUUGGGAUAACUUCAGGAAACUGGGGCUAAUACCGGAUAGGAGCUCCUGCUGCAUGGUGGGGGUUGGAAAGUUUCGGCGGUUGGGGAUGGACUCGCGGCUUAUCAGCUUGUUGGUGGGGUAGUGGCUUACCAAGGCUUUGACGGGUAGCCGGCCUGAGAGGGUGACCGGCCACAUUGGGACUGAGAUACGGCCCAGACUCCUACGGGAGGCAGCAGUGGGGAAUAUUGCACAAUGGGCGGAAGCCUGAUGCAGCAACGCCGCGUGCGGGAUGACGGCCUUCGGGUUGUAAACCGCUUUCGCCUGUGACGAAGCGUGAGUGACGGUAAUGGGUAAAGAAGCACCGGCUAACUACGUGCCAGCAGCCGCGGUGAUACGUAGGGUGCGAGCGUUGUCCGGAUUUAUUGGGCGUAAAGGGCUCGUAGGUGGUUGAUCGCGUCGGAAGUGUAAUCUUGGGGCUUAACCCUGAGCGUGCUUUCGAUACGGGUUGACUUGAGGAAGGUAGGGGAGAAUGGAAUUCCUGGUGGAGCGGUGGAAUGCGCAGAUAUCAGGAGGAACACCAGUGGCGAAGGCGGUUCUCUGGGCCUUUCCUGACGCUGAGGAGCGAAAGCGUGGGGAGCGAACAGGCUUAGAUACCCUGGUAGUCCACGCUGUAAACGGUGGGUACUAGGUGUGGGGUCCAUUCCACGGGUUCCGUGCCGUAGCUAACGCUUUAAGUACCCCGCCUGGGGAGUACGGCCGCAAGGCUAAAACUCAAAGGAAUUGACGGGGCCCCGCACAAGCGGCGGAGCAUGCGGAUUAAUUCGAUGCAACGCGUAGAACCUUACCUGGGUUUGACAUGGAUCGGGAGUGCUCAGAGAUGGGUGUGCCUCUUUUGGGGUCGGUUCACAGGUGGUGCAUGGCUGUCGUCAGCUCGUGUCGUGAGAUGUUGGGUUAAGUCCCGCAACGAGCGCAACCCUUGUUCACUGUUGCCAGCACGUUAUGGUGGGGACUCAGUGGAGACCGCCGGGGUCAACUCGGAGGAAGGUGGGGAUGACGUCAAGUCAUCAUGCCCCUUAUGUCCAGGGCUUCACGCAUGCUACAAUGGCUGGUACAGAGAGUGGCGAGCCUGUGAGGGUGAGCGAAUCUCGGAAAGCCGGUCUCAGUUCGGAUUGGGGUCUGCAACCCGACCUCAUGAAGUCGGCGUCGCUAGUAAUCGCAGAUCAGCAACGCUGCGGUGAAUACGUUCCCGGG
This 1343-nucleotide ribosomal RNA is filed under the name uncultured bacterium. Its description in RNAcentral is "16S ribosomal RNA". It matches the Rfam family "Bacterial small subunit ribosomal RNA", at positions 28 to 1378 of the family's 1533-position model. The record is from RNAcentral.